GGUGCUUCUACCAAACGUCUGUUGGCACGGUAACAGGUGCUGAUAGUUAAGGCUCUGACUGACACCCUUUUUAAAAUGAGCAGCGAACAGUCUGUGCACGCUGGACAUCCCGCAGGAUUUAUAAGAGUGCUGUGUGGAAACCCAAGUCUGCGACACCAGGGCCUUGUCUAAGUUUAGUGCCGUUUACCUGUUAAACUGACAGAAAAGUCUGCUGCACGAGAUCUCAAGUUUGUCGGCUGCUUCACUGCUGCGCUGGAGUGGAGGGCUGCUGUGAGAUCCCCCGCUUCUGCGUUCCGCUGCUGUGAGAUCCCCCGCUUUUGCGUUCUGUUGCUGUGAGAUCCCUCGAUUCUGCGUUCCGCUGCUGUGAGAUGCCCAUGAAAGAUAAUAUCCGAGUCGUCCGACGGCUGAGGGAAGCGGCGUGGCACACGGUCUGGGAGCUAGGUUCGUCUGCUCCCAGUUCAAUGCUAAGGUAACCCAGGGUACUGUGACAAAGCCCGCUACUCCCCGCUGACCGUCGGAGGUCCACCCCGUCCUAAGUCCCUCCGCCAAAGCUAAGUAGCCUCAGUAGGAUAGCCACACUAUUAAAUCCUCUCCCUGCCUCUUUACUGUCAAGUGUUUUGCUAACCCCAGUGCCUCUAUCUCUCUCCCUGGACAGGUGCAGUGAGUUUCACUUGAGCGACAGGCUGACCCCCAGGUGGUGGAGCCCACCCCCUCACUUUUCCUUGCUGUGUGCAUAACGGUUGCCCUAUUUUGGAGUGCAGUGCUUACUGGUUUUAUGCAUGUGUGGUGUGUGUCUUCUGGGCCUCUCCUGUCCCCCUCUUGGAAAGUCCUGCUCGCUGCGGGUGACUACCUAGGUGGCGUAGUCGACAAUUAAAACUAUCCUAGUAAACUACCUCGCCACUGUCACACAUAUAAAAGACAAAGACUGUGUGGCUCUGGAGGUGCAGUACCACGAAGGCUGUUAUAAUCAGUACAUCAGGUUUUUGACAAGGCCUGAAAAACCAGAGAAAGAACAGAAUGAGCCCACGUUUGAUGUCAGCUAUAAGAUAUUCUGUGAGAGGAUCAUUCGCCAAAGGCUGCUUGUCAACCAAGAGGUGCUGAGAAUGGGCCAGCUGAGGAAGGCCUUCAUUGAACUGGUGAAAGCAAAUGAAGGUCUUGAUGUUUCAAACUACAGACAGGAUAUGUUGAAGAAGAGGCUGACUCGUGAUUUCCCCCAGCUGGUGUUUCACAUGCCCUUGGUGCGCAACAUCUGCAAGCUGGUUUUUACAGAGACCCUGUCAGAACUUGGGUCAACAAGUGCAGGCAGCAACAUGCAGAAUGGACACCCACUUUGCUGCACAAGCUGAAUUGGCAUAUGUUUUUGUGAAGUCCACAGAUACGGAUAGAUGUGCAAUCCCAAGCUGGACAGGUUUCCAUACACUGCUUCUAUGGGGCGCCGUUUGUAAAAUGUUGCACGUUCGAAAAUCCUGCUCAGUUUUGCUACAUUUAGCAUUUUCAUAUGGAACAAAAAGCACGACAAUAUUCGAAUGUCACUUUUUCAAGCAUUUAG
This is a long non-coding RNA of Clupea harengus (Atlantic herring), 1549 nucleotides long. The record is from Ensembl. NCBI's taxonomy places the organism in Eukaryota, Metazoa, Chordata, Actinopteri, Clupeiformes, Clupeidae.